UAUUCGAGUGUAGGACCGUCGUUAAAAGUAUAUUGCCUUUUCUUCCUUUGAAAGAUUUACUGCUUGUUUUCCUUUCAGCACAAUGUCUCACAAAUUCUAUAUUUCUGACAAUAGAAGAAAAAUCACAGGGAAAUGUUCAAUUUCUAAGUUUCAACCCAAUUUCGACAAGCCUAAUUCUCAUCCACCACCACGCGAUUAAACACUCUGAACUAAUAGGUCGCCCCAAACCGAACAUGUGGAUAACGAAAUGAAAAGUUUGCACCGGACUAAAAGCUUGUUACUAACCUGUUAUAUUUCUAUAUACUUAUAUCAAAUUAUAACAUUAAAUUAUUUCUCUGAUAUACUUUAGUGGUUUAAUUCAUUAAGGACGAUUAAUGUUCACUUAAUACUAGGAAUUAAAACAAACAGUGCUUUCAAUUUUGAUGAACUACAAAUUUUCAAUAUUUGGAUAUAUCUUUUCUCAUUCACCUCUAUCAUUGCUCUUUAUCUCAGCUUUAAUUUCUUACACAGCUCACAUUUUACAAUCAAACUUAAUUUAUUUUUCUCAUCGUUGAUAUAGUAAUUUUAAAUACCUUUUUAUGAAUUUGAUUUUUCACUAUAUUAAAUAGUAUACGUGUAUAUAUAUUUUACCACGAUAUUGCUUUUCCAAUGAUGACACUUUUCCUCAGCGUGUUUUAUUGAGUACUAAAUGCUGGUUUUCACCUUCUCUUUUUAUUGUCGUUCAAUACUGGAAAUUUCCUAAAGGAAAGUUUCGUUCUAGAAACUUUUAGAAGCACUGUAGAUGUCGCAGUCAAAAUUGCAGAUUUUAAAUAAUACGAUUUCUUUUAAACUUAUAUUUCAAAACUGACUUCUUAAUAAACAAUUAAAAUAAGUUUCAUAGCUUAAUCUCUAUUUGUAAACAAUUUUCCAUACAAUUAAGUAAUUAAUUAAUUGAUGUAAAAUUACUCAAUCAACUCUGUUAGGUGUGUUCAAUGAGAGACAAGUAAAACUUUAAUUAUAUUUGUAUUUAUGCCGAAGCUUGAGAACAAGAAGAGCAUCAAUGAUGAUAGAAUACAAGAUUACGACAAUGAUUUACCGUUAAUUUUUUCGGUUUAGUCUGUGACAAUUAAACAAAAACUAAUUUCACUAUGCCGCCAUUUUGUGACGUAAUUCUUUUGAGUUGAGAAGAAGCUUAGAACAGCAUGUAAAUUGUGGACAAAAACGUAUUACUUUAGUUACUUUUGCUUGAAAAAAUUUGUAUAAUUUUUAAGUAAAAACACUCCCCCACCGCCAAUUAACUAAGUGGCUAAAAGGAAUUAUGAUUGCGAAGAUUGUAUUUAUUUAAUUUCAUAAGCAUAAAAUAUAUUGAUUUUGAAAAAUGAAGUGUGCAGUGGCGAGUUGCAAUAACUAUUAAGAAGCAAGUUUAUCCAGUUUUUCUUGGGAUAUAUAAAAUUAAUUUCAUAGUCAUAAUAAUUAUAACUUCAGAAUCUUUCAAUAUACUUUCACUUAAGUACAUCAAAACUGUUAUUAAUAUAGUAUAUAUUUGUGUAUAAUUGCAUAAACUGGAUGGAUCGCAAUCAUAAUCAUCAAUUCAUUGUCAGUUAUGUUAUCAAUAGAUAAAAGUAUUUAUAAAACUUAAGCAAAGUAUUUUAAUAUAACAUUGAUCUAUUUAUUUCACCAAAAAUGUUUCACUAUUAACUAAUAUAUUAAGUUUUUUUCCCGAAUUAACAAAAA
Bactrocera oleae (olive fruit fly) is the source of this 1713-nucleotide long non-coding RNA. RefSeq lists it as uncharacterized. NCBI's taxonomy places the organism in Eukaryota, Metazoa, Arthropoda, Insecta, Diptera, Tephritidae. The record is from RefSeq and is a predicted model, not a curated record.